RNAcentral lists this ribosomal RNA (902 nucleotides) under uncultured bacterium. RNAcentral describes it as "bacterial SSU rRNA". It matches the Rfam family "Bacterial small subunit ribosomal RNA", at positions 33 to 948 of the family's 1533-position model. The record is from RNAcentral.
ACGCUGGCGGCGCGCCUAACACAUGCAAGUCGAACGGUUAAAGCACCUUUUAGGUGUGUAUAAAGUGGCGAACGGCUGAGUAACACGUGGGCAACCUGCCCUCCUCUUGGGGAUAGCUUCGGGAAACCGAGGAUAAUACCCGAUACUUCAAUGUGGCCGCAUGACGACAUUGAGAAAGCUUUUGCGGAGAAGGAUGGGCCCGCGGCCUGUUAGCUUGUUGGUGGGGUAGAGGCCUACCAAGGCAAUGAUGGGUAGCUGGGUUGAGAGACCGACCAGCCAGAUUGGGACUGAGACACGGCCCAGACUCCUACGGGAGGCAGCAGUGGGGAAUCUUGCACAAUGGGCGAAAGCCUGAUGCAGCGACGCCGCGUGCGGGACGAAGGCCUUCGGGUUGUAAACCGCUUUCAGCAGGGACGAGGCGAUAAGUGACGGUACCUGCAGAAGAAGCCCCGGCUAACUACGUGCCAGCAGCCGCGGUAAUACGUAGGGGGCAAGCGUUAUCCGGAUUCAUUGGGCGUAAAGCACUCGUAGGCGGUCUGUUAGGUCGGGAGUUAAAUCCGGAGGCUCAACCUCCGCCCGCUCCCGAUACCGGCAGACUUGAGUUUGGUAGGGAAAGGUGGAAUUCCUAGUGUAGCGGUGGAAUGCGCAGAUAUUAGGAAGAACACCAGUGGCGAAGGCGGCCUUCUGGGCCAUAACUGACGCUGAGGAGCGAAAGCUAGGGGAGCAAACAGGAUUAGAUACCCUGGUAGUCCUAGCUGUAAACGAUGGACACUAGGUGUGGGAGAAUACGUCUUCCGUGCCGCAGCUAACGCAUUAAGUGCCCCGCCUGGGGAGUACGGCCGCAAGGCUAAAACUCAAAGGAAUUGACGGGGACCCGCACAAGCAGCGGAGCAUGUGGUUUA